RNA transcript from Triticum aestivum (bread wheat), 1934 nucleotides. It is a transcript of the gene named translation initiation factor IF-2, with no coding region annotated. NCBI's taxonomy places the organism in Eukaryota, Viridiplantae, Streptophyta, Magnoliopsida, Poales, Poaceae. The record is from RefSeq and is a predicted model, not a curated record. The transcript has 3 exons.
UACGACAAAUAAAAAACCCGACCCCCGAUUCGAGCGACCGCGCCUCCCACCGAUGAAUCCGCCGCCUCCCCGCCGCCGGCCGACAUCCUCCGCCACGCCACCCUUCGUCGCGUCGUCCUGCCCGCACCCUGGUCUGCCUCCUCUCCGCCACGCCCUCUUCCCUGCGCCGUCCGACUCCUCCGCGCGCGGUUCGCCGACACCGAGGCCCAGGCCGCCGCGCUCCGAGCCUGCGCCGGCCGGCUCAUGCGCGCGCCGCCGACCGCGACCGGCUGCUCAACACGCUCCUCGCGGCCGCGGGCAACGACCAGGAGGAGGAGGACGCGCCGGAGGUGGGGCAACGUCAGAAUCAACGCGCUCGGAUCCAGCCGAGGAUUACGGCGACACGGACGCGGAGGCUCCGGCCGCGGCCGCCGCACUCCCUCCGGUCAUCACCUUCCUUCCAGUUUUGUAUGGUGAGAUUCUCUUUAUAAAACAAGAUUUGUAUUGGUGGUAGAUCGACAACAACUGACAAGGACUACCACGAUUAGAGCUACUCUUUGGCACCCAUGUUACAGUAUGAAGUCAAGCAGGCAACAAGAUUUUAUGCACUCUUUUCAUGGUAUAUAUAUGGGAGUACAGGGAUCCGUGGGACGAGGCCAAGGUGUACGUGCGCAACCUUCCCUACGACGUUAGCAGCGAGCGCCUUGUGCAGCUCUUCGGGCAGGACGUCGUCGUCGAGGUCACCGUGGUGAGCAUGCUCUUCCUCUUAGACCAUCUUCAACGCUGGAUGCUAGCAUAAGGUGAUAUGAUUUGUUUCACAGUCGAUAUGUGGUAUUGGUGACAGAAGGUGCAUCACGCGCUUGGGUAUUUUCCUCCGCACGAGGUAAAGUACCAAAUGUGUUUUCAAUAUGUAAUUAGCAGCCAUGCUUAGCAUCAAGCUUUGAUAGAGGGGGCGCUUAGAUGAUUUUUGAUUUUAGGUAUUUAUUUUCUCUAUCUCUGAGCAUCUGCACAGACAACCCGCAUUAUAGAUGAUAUUAGCCUGCUGCCUGUGUUGUUCCUCUAGGCACACACACACACACACACACACACACACAGACACGCACGCGCACGCACGCACCCACACACACACACACACACACUUACUUUUUGCCUGGUGAAGGGAAUGCCUCAAAUCAUCGGACUCCUGAUUAUGUGUCGUGUUCGUGAAAGACUGAAACUGACACUAUCGGUUCUAAAUGUAAAUGAUGUCUGCUUUAAUGUGGUUGUUGAAGCUCAAAUGGAGUGUUUAUGCAUAACUGAAGUGGCACAUUUAGUUCUGGACAUAUCCAACAGCCUCCAAAACUUCUGAAAGCAAAGAGCUGGAGAACCAUCCUCUAGGCUCUCCUGUACCCCAACAGAUUAUUUUUCUUCCAAAACUAUUGAUAAACGCAGCAAGUUUUAAGUCCAAUUCCACAUCCAGAUGUUGUUAUUCAGGUUGUCAUCAUAGUGUAUCAGCUUCAAAGUUUAUUUUUACUCUCAAGUAGUUAAUAAUAUGUGAACCUGAACACUCAAACUACUGCGGGGGUAGGAUUUCUGCAGUAUCUGUUUGGACUAGAAUUUUCUGAAUUGUAGUAAGCUUGGCAACUACAGAAUACAUUGUGUCGAGAUAUAAUAGCACUUGAUUCUCUAACAAUCGUUGGUUCAUGAAUUGCAGCAGGAUGAACCCAAGGCCCCUCCUGUGAAUCCCAUUGCUUACCAUUUUUCAUGAUUGAGAUCUUGGGAUUUAACAUUUUGUAUUUUCUUGUUUAUUUUCUUUUUCUUUUGGAGGAGAACAAGAUGCAGCUUGUGAUAUGUGAAUUUACAACUUUUGUUGAAUAAACAGAAUAUAUCAACUGUAAGUUGAUGUAUAGAAAAGUCAACCCUUGCAUAGAUUUUGUAUUAUAUAUAGUUAACUCAGUAUAGUUAACAUUUUUUCA